ACAGUCACACGAGUUUAAUCAUGGCUCAGAUUGAACGCUGGCGGCAGGCCUAACACAUGCAAGUCGAACGGCAGCACAGAAGAGCUUGCUCUUUGGGUGGCGAGUGGCGGACGGGUGAGUAACACGUAGGAAUCUACCCAGUAGUGGGGGAUAACCUGGGGAAACCCAGGCUAAUACCGCAUACGCCCUGAGGGGGAAAGCGGGGGAUCUUCGGACCUCGCGCUAUUGGAUGAGCCUGCGUCGGAUUAGCUAGUUGGUGGGGUAAGGGCUCACCAAGGCGACGAUCCGUAGCUGGUCUGAGAGGAUGACCAGUCACACCGGAACUGAGACACGGUCCGGACUCCUACGGGAGGCAGCAGUGGGGAAUCUUAGACAAUGGGGGCAACCCUGAUCUAGCCAUGCCGCGUGAGUGAUGAAGGCCCUAGGGUUGUAAAGCUCUUUCAGCUGGGAAGAUAAUGACGGUACCAGCAGAAGAAGCCCCGGCUAACUCCGUG
This 494-nucleotide ribosomal RNA is filed under the name uncultured bacterium. RNAcentral's name for it is "bacterial SSU rRNA". It matches the Rfam family "Bacterial small subunit ribosomal RNA", at positions 1 to 507 of the family's 1533-position model. The record is from RNAcentral.